GUGCGACAUGUUUACGCUGGACAGAAGGAUAGACGGAUAGAUAGACGGACGGACGGACAGAAUGACUGAUAGAUGGAGGAACGGACGGAUGGAAGGAAGACAGACAGACAGACGGACGGACGGAUGUAUACAAUAAUACGUCCUGUCAAAAUUGUGACGGGCGUGUAAAAACGCAAUGAAAUGAAAAAAAACUCUUAAUUAA
RNAcentral lists this long non-coding RNA (202 nucleotides) under Mytilus galloprovincialis (Mediterranean mussel). Lineage: Eukaryota; Metazoa; Mollusca; Bivalvia; Mytilida; Mytilidae. The record is from RNAcentral.